GCGAACGCGAGAUCAACUACGAGAACCGCGGGGGGCAGGCAAACGGACGGCCACCGCGCGCGCCGCAGCGGUCGCCGCAGCGCCGUGACUCCCACGACACGGAACUGACGGAGCCGGCGACCGGCCGCCGCCGCCAGCCCGUUUCGCGCUCAUCCAGCAUGCCCAAGGGCUCGCGCUCGGCCGGCUGGUACCGUGCUGAGGACCGGCCAGCACGCUGAGUGAUGUCAUCAGGAUGGGUUGCUGAGUGCCACUGCUGGCAUUGCCAGCUGUCUGCUCCGGCGGGCCGGGCGCAGACCGUGCAGCAGCCUGCCCCGACACUGAGACCGCCGCCGCGCCGUCCCGGCCGCCGGUGCCGGGCUCAGCGGCCACCUGCGACCCCGGAGACCGGUCGGCCGGCGAGCACAGACUGCCGGGCCGGCCGUCCCGCCGCUGCCGGACCAGGAAGCUCGCCAUGCCAUGUGGCGCCGAGACGGCUGGGAAGUGACGCUGCCGUCGGCGCCGCCGACCGCCUCGUGCUUUCACGGACCCGUCCGCGCGCGUCGAAGCCGCGCCCUAGACUCCGGUAUCCUGGCAGCUCUGCCCGCUCCGCGCGGUAGCCCACUGUCAUGCCAUGGUCAGCAGAGCGCCUGCCUGAAGACUGCUGUGUUACGUGCUGCCGUGGCCCGCGGCCACGGUCGAUUGCGUGGCCAGAUACUGCCGCCGGCUGGUGGCGUGAUGUUUGGCUUCCUCACACUGGGGAUGGACGCCUAACCGGGCAGCAGCUGUUGCCCAUUAAUCUAGCCUGCCGCGCUGUGCCGUGUGCGUAGGGUAGCACUGUUUACGUGUCACGUGAAAUGGACGGUCGGUGAGCCAGGCUGUCUGCAUGCAAGUGUCUUGCCCGUGAUUGUUAAUAACAUUGAUUAACGUCCGAAUCAAACGUUUCCUGUGAAAUACAGAAUCGACUAACA
This is a long non-coding RNA of Pollicipes pollicipes, 947 nucleotides long. RefSeq lists it as uncharacterized. The transcript has 2 exons. The record is from RefSeq and is a predicted model, not a curated record. Lineage: Eukaryota; Metazoa; Arthropoda; Thecostraca; Pollicipedomorpha; Pollicipedidae.